UUUUUGGACCUAAAUGCAUCAUUACAUGGGCCUAUCACACUCCCAUGCAUCCAUGCAAAGGUAAAUUGCUAUUUUUGGAAUUUUGAAAGGAGGGUGUGAAGCCAAUUGCAUUUCCUAUAAAUGAGACCCUUCAUGCUCAGAAUUAUGGACCCCGACACGCAAGCUUUGAAUCAACAACCCUAAACCCUCACAUUCAAAGGAUAAGCUUGGUGACUUUCAUUGAAAAUCGAGUUUGAAUCUCCCACUAUUUUUUAGAUUGAAACUCUAAGAGUCCACCACUUU
Molecule: long non-coding RNA, 282 nt
Filed under: Lathyrus oleraceus (garden pea)
Lineage: Eukaryota; Viridiplantae; Streptophyta; Magnoliopsida; Fabales; Fabaceae
Description: Pisum sativum (pea) long non-coding RNA (PSAT_LNC001396)
Source: RNAcentral